Molecule: ribosomal RNA, 394 nt
Filed under: Pseudoalteromonas agarivorans
Lineage: Bacteria; Pseudomonadati; Pseudomonadota; Gammaproteobacteria; Alteromonadales; Pseudoalteromonadaceae
Description: partial 23S ribosomal RNA
Rfam family: Bacterial large subunit ribosomal RNA
Source: RNAcentral
ACCUGCUUGCAGGUAUCGUUAACUGAAUACAUAGGUUAACGAGGCGAACGCGGAGAACUGAAACAUCUAAGUACCCGUAGGAAAAGAAAUCAACCGAGAUUCCGAUAGUAGCGGCGAGCGAAAUCGGAAAAGCCCUUAAGCUUAUUAUGUGUUAAUGGAAGGCUCUGGAAAGUGCCACGAUACAGGGUGAUAGUCCCGUACAUGAAAAGACAUUUUAAGUGAAAUCGAGUAGGUCGGAGCACGUGAAACUUUGACUGAAUAUAGGUGGACCAUCAUCUAAGGCUAAAUACUCCCAACUGACCGAUAGUGAACCAGUACCGUGAGGGAAAGGCGAAAAGAACCCCUGUGAGGGGAGUGAAAUAGAACCUGAAACCGUGUACGUACAAGCAGUAGG